UACGUAGGGACCGAGCGUUGUCCGGAAUCAUUGGGCGUAAAGAGCUCGUAGGCGGCUUGUCGCGUCGUCCGUGAAAACCUGCAGCUCAACUGCAGGCUUGCGGGCGAUACGGGCAGGCUAGAGUUCGGUAGGGGAGACUGGAAUUCCUGGUGUAGCGGUGGAAUGCGCAGAUAUCAGGAGGAACACCGGUGGCGAAGGCGGAUCUCUGGGCCUUACCUGACGCUCAGGUGCGAAAGCUAGGGGAGCGAACAGG
This 253-nucleotide ribosomal RNA is filed under the name uncultured bacterium. RNAcentral describes it as "partial 16S ribosomal RNA". It matches the Rfam family "Bacterial small subunit ribosomal RNA", at positions 524 to 776 of the family's 1533-position model. The record is from RNAcentral.